UUUAUUCAGGCCAAGAGCUCACUAAGUAAGGAAUCAGAAGUAUUAUUAUGAAAGUGGAGAGGGAACUUGGUCAUUUUCUUUGACUAUCUUCACUGUCUCGGGCUCAGUUCUCUCUGAGACAAGGAGCAAGUGGUUUUCCAAGAAGCACCAGUAGAGUAGAGGGGAAGUGGGGUGGAGAAUAAGGAGAAAGAAGCCGAUGAGGUGCAUUCAUGAGAAGAAGCCAUUGGGAACAUCGUUCCUCUUCAUCCCUAAUGUUGGAUGCCUCUCCAACCUAAGGAGCAAUCAUGCCAUUAAGACUAGGACCAGAGAAAACAAGACUAACUUGUUCAUACUUUAAUCACCUACCAUGGACCAAAUCAGAUUAAGGACCGGAAGAACUCUGACAUGCAGCUAGCAGACCCUCAUCUACAUCUUGGCUCUUUUCUCCCCAAAUUGACAGGAAGUCAGUCUAAGCCCCCAGUGUUUUGACUCACCUUUCUUUUGUUUCCCCAAGCCAUCACUGCCGUUAUGAAGCCUAAUUCACCUUACUGCUUCCUUUCCAACUCUCACUUCCCUCAUUAAUAAUUCUUACCCAGAGCCAACAACUAAUAAAUAUAU
Long non-coding RNA from Orcinus orca (killer whale), 597 nucleotides. RefSeq lists it as uncharacterized. The transcript has 3 exons. Lineage: Eukaryota; Metazoa; Chordata; Mammalia; Artiodactyla; Delphinidae. The record is from RefSeq and is a predicted model, not a curated record.